UACGUAGGGUGCGAGCGUUGUCCGGAAUUACUGGGCGUAAAGAGCUCGUAGGUGGUUUGUCGCGUUGUUCGUGAAAACCUGAGGCUUAACCUUGGGCGUGCGGGCGAUACGGGCAGACUGGAGUACUGCAGGGGAGACUGGAAUUCCUGGUGUAGCGGUGGAAUGCGCAGAUAUCAGGAGGAACACCGGUGGCGAAGGCGGGUCUCUGGGCAGUAACUGACACUGAGAAACGAAAGCCAGGGGAGCAAACGGG
RNAcentral lists this ribosomal RNA (253 nucleotides) under uncultured bacterium. Its description in RNAcentral is "partial 16S ribosomal RNA". It matches the Rfam family "Bacterial small subunit ribosomal RNA", at positions 524 to 776 of the family's 1533-position model. The record is from RNAcentral.